RNAcentral lists this ribosomal RNA (252 nucleotides) under uncultured bacterium. RNAcentral describes it as "partial 16S ribosomal RNA". It matches the Rfam family "Bacterial small subunit ribosomal RNA", at positions 524 to 776 of the family's 1533-position model. The record is from RNAcentral.
UACGUAGGUCCCGAGCGUUGUCCGGAUCUAUUGGGCGUAAAGCGAGCGCAGGUGGUUUAUUAAGUCUGGUGUAAAAGGCAGUGGCUCAACCAUUGUAAGCAUUGGAAACUGGUAGACUUGAGUGCAGGAGAGGAGAGUGGAAUUCCAUGUGUAGCGGUGAAAUGCGUAGAUAUAUGGAGGAACACCGGUGGCGAAAGCGGCUCUCUGGCCUGUAACUGACACUGAGGCUCGAAAGCGUGGGGAGCAAACAGG